This 255-nucleotide ribosomal RNA is filed under the name uncultured bacterium. Its description in RNAcentral is "partial 16S ribosomal RNA". It matches the Rfam family "Bacterial small subunit ribosomal RNA", at positions 524 to 776 of the family's 1533-position model. The record is from RNAcentral.
CACGUAGGGGGCGAGCGUUGUCCGGAUUUAUUGGGCGUAAAGAGCUCGUAGGUGGCUUAGUAAGUCGGGUGUGAAACCUCCAGGCUCAACCUCGGAGACGCCACCCGAUACUGCUAUAGCUUGAGUCCGGUAGGGGAGCGUGGAAUUCCUGGUGUAGCGGUGAAAUGCGCAGAUAUCAGGAGGAACACCAGCGGCGAAGGCGGCGCUCUGGGCCGGUACUGACACUGAGGAGCGAAAGCGUGGGGAGCAAACAGG